CUUGUAGCUCAGCUGGAUAGAGUGUCAGACUCCGACUCUGAAGGUCACAGGUUCGAAUCCUGCCAGGC
This 68-nucleotide transfer RNA is filed under the name human gut metagenome. It matches the Rfam family "tRNA". From Rfam's summary of the family: Transfer RNA (tRNA) molecules are approximately 80 nucleotides in length. Their secondary structure includes four short double-helical elements and three loops (D, anti-codon, and T loops). Further hydrogen bonds mediate the characteristic L-shaped molecular structure. tRNAs have two regions of fundamental functional importance: the anti-codon, which is responsible for specific mRNA codon recognition, and the 3' end, to which the tRNAs corresponding amino acid is attached (by aminoacyl-tRNA synthetases). tRNAs cope with the degeneracy of the genetic code in two manners: having more than one tRNA (with a specific anti-codon) for a particular amino acid; and 'wobble' base-pairing, i.e. permitting non-standard base-pairing at the 3rd anti-codon position. RNAcentral also lists the same sequence under 1 other name. The record is from RNAcentral.